CCUACGGGAGGCAGCAGUGGGGGAUAUUGCACAAUGGGGGAAACCCUGAUGCAGCGACGCCGCGUGAGGGAAGAAGUAUUUCGGUAUGUAAAGCUCUAUCAUCAGGGAAGAAAAUGACAGUACCUGACCAAGAAGCCCCGGCUAACUACGUGCCAGCAGCCGCGGUAAUACGGAGGGGGCAAGCGUUAUUCGGAUUGACUGGGUGUAAAGAGGGCGUAGGCGGUUUUGUAAGUCUGGAGUGAAAGCCCGUGGCGCAACCACAGGACUGCUUUGGAAAUUGUGUAACUGGAGUGUAGGAGGGGUAGGCGGAAUUCCUGGUGUAGCGGUGAAAUGCGUAGAGAUCAGGAGGAACACCGGGGGCGAAGGCGACCUGCUGGAAUAAAACUGACGUUGAGGCUCGAAAGCGUGGGGAGCAAACAGGAUUAGAUACCCGAGUAGUC
RNAcentral lists this ribosomal RNA (440 nucleotides) under uncultured bacterium. RNAcentral describes it as "partial 16S ribosomal RNA". It matches the Rfam family "Bacterial small subunit ribosomal RNA", at positions 338 to 795 of the family's 1533-position model. The record is from RNAcentral.